GAUGAGAUGUGCUCUUUUUGGAGAUCAGAUACAUGCAUAUGAAGAUGUUCUAAAACCAACUGGCCAAUAUGAAAUUUCAAAGGCUCCUAUAACUUAUAUGGAUGAGCAAUAUAAGAUUAACCUUGAAGAACUUCCAUAUCAGAUGACUAUUGGACAACAAACUAUCAUUCAGCGUUUGAAUCCAGAAGCUGGUCCGAUUGAGCCUAAAUAUCAGCCCACUGUCAACUCUUCCAAGAUCGCCUGAUCCCAACGGCAGAUUUGAUAUUGUCGCUGUCGUUUUGUUUGUUGAAGAUGCACCGCGAAUGAUAUCUAAUAUUCGUGGGCGUGACAGUCCAGUUCGUGAAAUCUCUGUUACUGACACAAGCCAAGACCAUGCCAUGACAAUUUCAGCAUGGAAUGAUCUCACGGGUAAACCCUGUGAUGCACUGAGUAACUGGACUGAGAAGUUUCAUGUUGUUGGCUUUACUGCACUGAAAACCCGCCACACAAGAGGUAACAUUAGUACAUGUGCUUGAACAAUUGUACUUUGACUAAAAAAAGCUUGGAUGAAAUAAUUAUUGUACUUUAAUGCAGGAUUUGGUUUAAACACUACUAUGUCAACUAGAAUAAUUAUGAAUCCUAAAGGAGAGAGAGCAGACAUGCUUCGCGAAUGGGUCAAAUUAUAUCAUCAUGUCUUGCUGGACAGACAGGAAAGGAUCUUGAAUGUUAGGUACCCAAGUGUUGAGAAAAAAAUUGUGACUAUAGCUGAACUGAGGAGC
This is a long non-coding RNA of Chenopodium quinoa (quinoa), 758 nucleotides long. RefSeq lists it as uncharacterized. The record is from RefSeq and is a predicted model, not a curated record. The transcript is spliced from 4 exons. Lineage: Eukaryota; Viridiplantae; Streptophyta; Magnoliopsida; Caryophyllales; Amaranthaceae.